GGAGAGAUAGCUCAGCAGUUUAGGGCACUGACUGCUGUUCCAGAGAUCCUGAGUUCAAUUCCCAGCAACCUCA
RNAcentral lists this transfer RNA (73 nucleotides) under Mus musculus (house mouse). RNAcentral's name for it is "tRNA-Ser". Lineage: Eukaryota; Metazoa; Chordata; Mammalia; Rodentia; Muridae. The record is from RNAcentral.